RNAcentral lists this long non-coding RNA (3203 nucleotides) under Capsicum annuum. RNAcentral's name for it is "long non-coding RNA (CANN_LNC019442)". Lineage: Eukaryota; Viridiplantae; Streptophyta; Magnoliopsida; Solanales; Solanaceae. The record is from RNAcentral.
AUAGAUAUACACACACCACUCAAAAGAAAAAAACAUUACACACACACUACCUCACUGUAUAAGACACCAUCGUCUUCUCCGCAAUUCACAAAAAAUCACUCUCACAUACGCAUACUACUCACCUUCACUGGAAAAGGCUCUCAUACGGAUGCACAAUUCUCUCUACACAGUACACACGCAGCUCACCGCACACUCACCGAAGACGAAAAAUUUCUCACAAAAAAAAUGCACACACAUCGUGGAAGCCAGUGGAGAAGAAAAAGAGUGGAAUCGGGUGAAAACAGUAGAAAAGAUGGAGAAACAUUGAUGAAUUGAGGGGGGAGAAACAGUGAACGAUCGAGAAAGGAAGGUCGAUUUUCUGAUGAAAUCUCGUCGGAAACGUCAUCUCUACCGACAAUCUGAAUCCAAAAGCCACCAGCUCCUUCAUUUGUCCAAAAAUUCGAUUAAACCCACAUCACAUCGACUCAAGGAACCGACCAUUCCUUCUCCGUCCCCGUCACCGUCGAGUUCUUCGGUGAAGCUCACUAGAGCCCCGGUAAGUAGCGAAAUCCGUGGUCAAAACAGUGCACAAAUUCUAGUUGAGUCAUCGGUCUUUUGGGUUCUAUUUCGAAUCACCAAGUUGGGUCCAAUUUGAAGUCGAAAUUCGAUUCGAUUUUGGUCGUUGUUAAGGUCGGCUUGAGGUUCUAGUCACGGUUUUAAUCGGAAUAAUACAUCGAUUUUGAAAGCGGCAUUGAGGUCCAAUUCUAUCUUCUCUCCCUUUAAUUUUUACGUGAAUAUGAAUGAUUUGUUGCUUGACAUACUUGAAUCUUUGUUUUGCGUUGGUUGAUGUUGGACUUGAAUGUGAAAAUUUGGAUUAGUAGUUGAAGAAUUGAUUUAUUAUUUUGAGAAUGAAUUCGGGGAGGGAUUGGUUUUGAUGAAAGAUGAAUGUUGGUUAUUUUGAUUCAUUAAACGCGAUAGUAUCAUGAUAGGAUGAAAUUGGUAGGCAAAUGGUAGGCUGGCUAGGCAAAUUUAGGAAUUGUUGGUCGGGAAAUGUUUUGAGGGAUUUGUAUUGAUUUAUCCGGGAAAUGCCCCGAAGUGUUAUGUGCGCAGAGGAGGCUCGUUAUUAAGGCCCGAGGCAUCGGGUAAGACAUUGGAGCGUAGUUUUAGAAUUAGCUUAUAAUAGGAUUUAUAUUUUCGCAUUUUUUUUCUAUUUUUAGGACUAUAUAAUUGGACUGAACACUAAAGUUCGGAUUAUUUUGUUUUGUUUGUUUGAUUGAUUGUUUUAUAUGCUUUUGUGUGGUUUAUAUAUUCGUAAUGUUAAAUUAGUCGAUAUGCUCUACCAAGCGACCGUGGUCAAAUCACGGAACCGAGGGGUGCCUAACACCUUCCCCUCGAUCAACAUAAUUCCUUAGUUGGAAUCUCUGUUUGCAAACUAAUUUAAAGAGUCAAAUCAUUUUUGAAAGAGGAUUUUCAAAUCUGACUUGGCACAUCAGAUUUAUGUCAAGUGGCAACUCUGAGUUAAUUGUAAAAUGAAUUCUUUUUGAAAUAAUUUUUAUUUUGUCACUUUAAUAAUAAAAAUCCUUUCAAACUUUAAAAUCAAUUCUUUUUUGGUUAAAAAAAGGGGUGUGACAAGUUGAACUUCUUGACUUUCAUUAAAAUACUUUGCAAUAGAUAAAAUGGUCUUUCACUUUUUCUCUUCAAUUAUUAUUUAAUUAAAUUACGCAAUCCUAAAAUAUAUAAUAAUAACAAAUAUAUGAUAAAAAAAUAUUAAGAGAACUAAAAUAUUUGAAUAUAUAUGAAAAGUAUAAUUAGUUAAGAAAAAUUAAUGCCACUUUAUAAAAAUUCUAAAUAAAUAAUAUGUCAAUUAGAGCAACAAAAAAAGGUUCAUAAAAGUAUUCUUGAUCUUGAAUAUGAAUGAAAUAAUAUUGAAGAAGCUAUAUUUAAUUUAUAUAAUUAAAAUAAGGAACAUAUUUAUAUAUAGGAUAAUAAUACUUAUGUUUUUUAAUCUUUUUGAAAACUUAUUAUUUCUAUUUAAUUUGGGAAAUAAAGUUUAUCCCAAGUAAAUUGUCUCCCUAAUCAAAUAGGAAAGAGGUUUAUGUAUGAUACUAUAUAUAUAAAGGGUGAUGAAAAGAAAAAUUCAAAAAAUGAAUGAUGCAAGUCAUUAUUGAUUGAUUCUCCAAUAUUCUUAUGCUGGUGAGAAAAAUUCAUGGGGAAAAUGUGAUUUAGACUUUGCGUCUAUUAUAAACGGAAUUAAAGGUUUGUAGAGAAUUUUAUUUCUAAUGCAUAUUGAUAUUAUUUAUAUUGUUAAGGUUAAAUUAUUAGACGUCCUUCAACAAAUAUUAUUAUAUGCUUUUGUUUUAUAUGCUUAAUAUUAUUUUUUGUGUUGGUUGGUACUAUGAUUUGAUGUAUGUCUAAUGCCUUAUUUUGCUUGAUAAGGUUUGAUGUGUUAUUAAUGCCCUUGAUAAAGGUGGUAGAUGAAUGGCUUUGAGAUUUUUUUAAAAGUAAAAUUAGGUAUGAUCACAUUGGUUUGAUAUCUCAAUUGUCAUAUUGUUUUGUUGUAAUUUCUAUUCUAUUGUCAUCUAUUAUUUUUGUCAUUAUCCGUUGUUUAUUGUACUUUGUAAUUACUUCUUUUUUGAACAACUUUGGGUGAUUUUUCCUUGAGUCCAGGUCUUUCAUCAAGUUGAAGUGAAAAAAUAUAACUAAUUAAUGAAUGUUUUCAUAUUGUGAGCAGUUGAGAGUAUUCGAGAUUUUAAAGAUACCGAACAUAUUGUUUUAUUGUAGUUUCUAUUAUGUUAUCAUCUACUGUUUUUAUUAUUAUCUGAAUGACUUUGGGUUGUUUUUUCAUGUGUCGAGAUCCUUCAUCAAGUUUAAGUGUGAAUACAAGACUAAUUGAUAAAUGUUUUCAUAUUUUGAGCAGUUGAAGGUAUAUGAGAUCUUGAAGAUGUCAAAAAAAUUCAUCAUUCGCUUUCUUUUUGGUAUGCAAUCUAUUAUAUAUCUUUGAAUUUUGAGUUUUGGUAAUUGAGUUUGUUUUAUUAUUUUUUCUUUUCAGUUUAGUUUGUAAUUGAUAGACAUAUUAUGAAAUUUGUUUUGUGAAGUUGCAGUUUUGGAGGUUCUUGAAUAGACAUAGCUUGCUUAUAUUUUAUUAUUUAUUAGAUGCAUAUUUUCAUAAAAUUUUAAUGGUUCUAACCAAUUUAUGAAUACUAUAUAAACUAGAGAAAGCGCGG